RNAcentral lists this ribosomal RNA (642 nucleotides) under uncultured bacterium. RNAcentral's name for it is "bacterial SSU rRNA". It matches the Rfam family "Bacterial small subunit ribosomal RNA", at positions 233 to 885 of the family's 1533-position model. The record is from RNAcentral.
GCGGCCUAUCAGCUUGUUGGUGGGGUGAUGGCCUACCAAGGCGACGACGGGUAGCCGGCCUGAGAGGGCGACCGGCCACACUGGGACUGAGACACGGCCCAGACUCCUACGGGAGGCAGCAGUGGGGAAUCUUGCGCAAUGGGCGAAAGCCUGACGCAGCGACGCCGCGUGAGGGAUGGCGGCCUUCGGGUUGUAAACCUCUUUCGACCGGGACGAAGCGUGAGUGACGGUACCGGUAGAAGAAGCACCGGCUAACUACGUGCCAGCAGCCGCGGUAAUACGUAGGGUGCGAGCGUUGUCCGGAAUUAUUGGGCGUAAAGAGCUCGUAGGCGGUUUGUCGCGUCGGCCGUGAAAACUCCAGGCUUAACUUGGGGCUUGCGGUCGAUACGGGCAGACUUGAGUUCGGCAGGGGAGACUGGAAUUCCUGGUGUAGCGGUGAAAUGCGCAGAUAUCAGGAGGAACACCGGUGGCGAAGGCGGGUCUCUGGGCCGAUACUGACGCUGAGGAGCGAAAGCGUGGGGAGCGAACAGGAUUAGAUACCCUGGUAGUCCACGCCGUAAACGUUGGGCGCUAGGUGUGGGGACCAUUCCACGGUUUCCGUGCCGUAGCUAACGCAUUAAGCGCCCCGCCUGGGGAGUACGG